Molecule: ribosomal RNA, 548 nt
Filed under: uncultured Glomeromycotina
Lineage: Eukaryota; Fungi; Glomeromycota
Description: SSU rRNA
Rfam family: Eukaryotic small subunit ribosomal RNA
Source: RNAcentral
UUGGAGGGCAAGUCUGGUGCCAGCAGCCGCGGUAAUUCCAGCUCCAAUAGCGUAUAUUAAAGUUGUUGCAGUUAAAAAGCUCGUAGUUGAAUUUCGGGGUCAGUAGGCUGGUCGUGCCACAGGUAUGUACUGGUCUCACUGAUUCCUCCUUCCUGAUGAACCGUAAUGCCAUUAAUUUGGUGUUGCGGGGAAUCUGGACUGUUACUUUGAAAAAAUUAGAGUGUUUAAAGCAGGCUAACGCUUGAAUACAUUAGCAUGGAAUAAUGAAAUAGGACGAUCGAUCCUAUCUUGUUGGUUUCUAGGAUUGACGUAAUGAUUAAUAGGGAUAGUUGGGGGCAUUAGUAUUCAAUUGUCAGAGGUGAAAUUCUUGGAUUUAUUGAAGACUAACUACUGCGAAAGCAUUUGCCAAGGAUGUUUUCAUUAAUCAAGAACGAAAGUUUGGGGAUCGAAGACGAUCAGAUACCGUCGUAGUCUUAACCAUAAACUAUGCCGACUAGGGAUCGGAUGAUGUUAAUUUUUUAAUGACUCAUUCGGCGCCUUACGGGAAA